CAGUAGCCGCGGUAAUACAGAGGGUGCGAGCGUUAAUCGGAAUUACUGGGCGUAAAGCGCGCGUAGACGGUUUUGUAAGUCAGAUGUGAAAUCCCUGGGCUCAACCUGGGAACUGCAUUUGAUACUGCAUGGCUAGAGUAUCAAAGAGGGAAGUGGAAUUUCCGGUGUAGCGGUGAAAUGCGUAGAUAUCGGAAGGAACACCAGUGGCGAAAGCGACUUCCUGGUCGAAUACUGACGUUCAUGUGCGAAAGCGUGGGGAGCAAACUGGAUUAGAUACCCCCGUAGUCCCUGUCUCUUAUAC
RNAcentral lists this ribosomal RNA (301 nucleotides) under uncultured bacterium. Its description in RNAcentral is "partial 16S ribosomal RNA". It matches the Rfam family "Bacterial small subunit ribosomal RNA", at positions 509 to 807 of the family's 1533-position model. The record is from RNAcentral.